This 429-nucleotide ribosomal RNA is filed under the name Chloroflexota bacterium. RNAcentral's name for it is "Chloroflexi bacterium partial 16S ribosomal RNA". It matches the Rfam family "Bacterial small subunit ribosomal RNA", at positions 355 to 776 of the family's 1533-position model. The record is from RNAcentral. Lineage: Bacteria; Bacillati; Chloroflexota.
UGGGGAAUAUUGCACAAUGGGCGCAAGCCUGAUGCAGCCAUGCCGCGUGUAUGAAGAAGGCCUUCGGGUUGUAAAGUACUUUCAGCGGGGAGGAAGGGAGUAAAGUUAAUACCUUUGCUCAUUGACGUUACCCGCAGAAGAAGCACCGGCUAACUCCGUGCCAGCAGCCGCGGUAAUACGGAGGGUGCAAGCGUUAAUCGGAAUUACUGGGCGUAAAGCGCACGCAGGCGGUUUGUUAAGUCAGAUGUGAAAUCCCCGGGCUCAACCUGGGAACUGCAUCUGAUACUGGCAGGCUUGAGUAUCGUAGAGGGGGGUAGAAUUCCAGGUGUGGCGGUGAAAAGCGGAGAGAUCUAGAGGAAUAACGGUGGCGAAGGCGGCCCCCUGGACGAAGACUGACGCUCAGGUGGGAAAGAGUGGGGAGCAAACAGG